AUACGGAGGGUGCAAGCGUUACUCGGAAUCACUGGGCGUAACGCGCGCGCAGGCGGUCUUUUAAGUUGGAUGUGAAAGCCUACGGCUCAACCGGAGAACUGCAUCCAAAACUAUUAGACUAGAGUGUGGGAGAGGAAGAUGGAAUUAGUUGUGUAGGGGUAAAAUCCGUAGAGAUAACUAGGAAUACCAAAAGCGAAGGCAAUCUUCUGGAACACUACUGACGCUGAGGAACGAAAGCGUGGGUAGCAAACAGGAUUAGAAACCCCAGUAGUCC
RNAcentral lists this ribosomal RNA (274 nucleotides) under uncultured bacterium. RNAcentral describes it as "partial 16S ribosomal RNA". It matches the Rfam family "Bacterial small subunit ribosomal RNA", at positions 523 to 796 of the family's 1533-position model. The record is from RNAcentral.